AGUAGCUGAAAUUUGUGUAGUCUUCAAACACUUUUUCAAUAUAGUCUACUAGUAAACAGUGAUGCAAAGAGGCACGAAAUGCCGUUGCAAAAUACAGUUCAACACCUGAAUGCAUUGUGGAUGCUGAAGAUGUUGUGUU
Long non-coding RNA from Xenia sp. Carnegie-2017, 139 nucleotides. RefSeq lists it as uncharacterized. The transcript has 3 exons. The record is from RefSeq and is a predicted model, not a curated record. Lineage: Eukaryota; Metazoa; Cnidaria; Anthozoa; Malacalcyonacea; Xeniidae.